GCUCUGAAGCCCGGCUGCCAUUCGAUGCCUGACGGCUUCUCCUACCAACGCACACUAUUUCCAGGGGCUCUGGGGAACUGGAGUCAGAUGGAGCCAUGGCCCACCAAGCGGCAAGCAAGGGGUGCUAUGUGAAACCGUUUCUCUAUCAAGCCUGCCCCCCCUGCCCACUGCUGGGAUCUGCUCAGAAGGGACCUCAAGAAUUAUGGGAUCCACCUGUACCAGCCAAGCCUGCUGCCAGGACCAGCCCUGGGCACCUGGCCCAAGGCAACACAUUUUUAGGUGCUUAGAUGCUCUGAAGGAUGACUGCCACACUGCCACUCCAUGUUUAAAACAUCGGCAUACUACCAUUUCUCUCAGGAAACCUCAUGACCAGAGGAACCCUGGAGCCUGUGUGUUAAGUCUCAAGGAAAAGAAAAGCAAUUGCAAAAUGGGAAUGGAAGCCUUGGUCCGUCUGGUGUUUGUUUGAGCACUGUCAGGCAGAAAAAGAAGGCAAGAAGUCUACAUGUGACGCUGGAGACUUCCUGGUCCUGCUGCUGCCACACUACAAAAUUGAGAUCACUGGCCCAGUGAUGAUGAUUUUCUCACUACUGCCACAGUUGCCUUGAGAAGCUCCCACCGAAGAAGCCAGAACCAGGAGCUGAGAGACUGGAGGAGGCAAUGCUGUCUCCUCCUUGCUCACAUUUGAGCAUAACAUCUCUGCAGAAUCUCUCACUUUCAAAUAUUCCAUUCACAUGGCUCAAGGAGUGAUAGGACUGACUCUACCAGUUGUCUACCAGUUCUGAAGGCCUCUUAGAGCUCAACAAUCCUCCAUUCCCUGUGUGAAUAACUGGCAGAGGGGAGAAGCAGGCUGGAACUGGAAGGGAAGUUGAAAGGACCCAUGCAUCUGUGGAUGAGGGGAUCACAGCCUGUGGCAGAGCACCUCAGCCUCCCUUGCUCUUGGAUGUAUUCAUCACACUGAACCCACAGCCCCAUGUGGGAUGCAGAGUAAUGCCCACUGCAUAUGUACCAACGAAGUUACAGACACCAAGAGAGACUUUUCAUUGAGCAAGUUCUGCCUUUUGGCCAAAGUAGACACACUUAAUGACUGCCACAUAGUAAGUCCUCCUCAGUCUUUGGGCGAAGGAACUGGAAAUGAGAUUUCAAGAGCUGACCAGACCAAGGUAGGAAGCUGAGUUCCGAUGCAUACUUAACAGGCACGUAUCGUUACUGCCAGUAUUUCUGCUGUGUCAGUUGGACUUGGAAGACACACUUGAAACUAAUACAGUCUGUAUUCCAAUAUUUGCUUUGAUCUAUUCUCAUGUUCUUCUCUGUGGGGAUCUCUGAAAUGCCUCUAAAGUCUCACUUCCGAGUCAGCAUAUAAGCAAUUAAACAAUUGUGGAACUGUCUGGCAACAGUUACUUGAAAAUAAUUAUUAGCUUUCUUGACUGGAGGUCUUGAAUCAAAUUAAUAUCUCAAAGAAUUUUUGGAUGCAUCUUGCAUGCUCCUUAAGUACUGUGUUUUUUGGUUAACGAAUGGCCUUGUAGAUCCUGCCUGUGAAGCCAAGAGUCCUGCAAGCAGAAAAGUUUAUUUGUUUCAGCAGAAGGAAGGAUAGGAAGUGGAAAUUAAUUCUGGGCCAACUUGUAUUUGGACUGGAUUUUCAGCCACUUUAAAAGUGAAGCCAAAUACAAUGCAGAAGGGCAGUCUUUGACCCAACGAAAAUACAGCUAUUCGUCCAUCCACGCCUACGCAUGGCUGAAGUUAGAUAGUCCCCUCCAGUCUCACCAAUGUUCUAAUUAAAAAAAAAUAUGCAGGGCUUACAUUCAAUUUAGGCUUGUAGAAUUUUAGGCCAAAAGGAACUAGAUCAUAUAGUGUAACCUGUAAGUCACAGGCUGUUAAAUUUUACUCAGUUGCCCUGUUGAGCUCAAUAAUUUUUAUUUGACUCAAACAGUUUGUGCAUUGGCUUCCAGUAAGGCAAGCAAUCUCUGUUUGAAUGACAAAGAGGCAGAAGACUAUUAUUUUUGUUUAUGUGGCUGAAUGCAUAUGUUGAUACGUGUACGUUCUGCUUUAGUAUCUGAGAACUAUGUCUUAGUUGGGGGAUACAAUCCUGCAAGUAAAUAGGUGUAACCAUUACGCAGAUGACAAGACUCACAACAUGACUGGUAUUUUGCCAUGGAGAAGAGUAGGGGAAAGAUGAAGGGAAGGAAUACACACAAACACAGGGCUGGUUGAGCUCUCCCUCGCACACACACACUCCUUUCAAGGUUUCCACUUAAGAAAUAAACUGAACAAGACCUGUUUUUUUUUUGUUUUUUUUUUUUCUUUUUAAUGAAUCCCCUAAUUUGCAAAAAUACCUCAGAUAUGUAAUGUUUUCCAAACCACAGUUUAAAGGCUUACAUAAUUAACACAGCGAUAUAAAUCACUGCUAUUCUAGCUGGGAGAAAAAAAAGAUGUGGCUAGUGUUAAAAUGAGAUUCAAAACCAGCAAAGUGAAUGAAUGAAUUACUCAGGCACAUUGUUUACGCUGAUUUGAAUGUUUUUGUUGUAUUAAUUUCAGCACAGGUCAAUUAGUAAACUAACUAAAAAUAAAUUAUAACUGCUGAUAUCUAAAUUCAAAAUACAACCGACAUCAUUUUGGCAAACUAAUUGACUGCUCUUAAAGGUUAGAAAAUAAAGGCUUCACUUUUAACAGAAGUGGGAUGGCUUAUAUUUUGUACCUUAUACUUUAAAUCUUUUUAGCAAUCGAAGCAUAAUUUGCUGUUUCACUGAUACCCCACCUAGGCUUUAGUAAACACUACAGAGCAUGCAGAGUGCUAUGAAUCAGUGCAGCUAAAUAGCCACUGGAGAGCAGUCUAAAAGCUACAGUUAAGCAUACUGAUCAUAGUUCAGCUUUAUACCAACAUAUUUUUAACUCAUACUGUAUUUCAGUUGCUUGUAUUUAUGCAUUUUCUGCUGGUCUGGCCAGCUAUUGUUUUCUAGUUUCCUUCCUUACGUCUUGAGUAGACUAAAAUAGUCCCCAGAACUUCUGGAGGAAAUUUUUUAGAGCUCCAUCCAGUAAAAGCUUGAUACAAAGCCAUUUAGCUUAAUGAAAGUCUUUCCACUGACUAAAGUAGUUUGCUUCCAACCUCAUGGUUCACAGGCACACUGUUUAAAUGACUACAAUGAAGCUUUUGUUGGUGAAAUUACGUAUCUAUGUUAUUUCUUUUUAUUCAGUGUGCCAAGCAGUGUUUUGGUUACCAUAAUUUUUGUUGAUUAUCUCUCUGAACUUGAGAGACAGGCUGCUUCAAAGCUCCAUGACAGCUCAGGAUAGGUUAAAGAUGGACUGCAGUGUUUGCUAUGGGGCUCUGGUGCCCAGUCCGGGGCUACAAUCCUUUCUUAAGCCAGGGCAGGUGCUACAACCUGGGACAAGCCUGAUCACGUCAGUUGUGUUGAAGACUGAGACACCUAGAGAACGAAUCUAAAGGAAGAUACCAGCCAUCCUCUCCUAUCAUGAAAAAGGCAAAGCAGAUAUCCUACUUAUUUAUAGCUAGAAAUCCAAUUUGAUUUUAAAAUGAGGUUUUGCUUAUCCUGGGUGAAGUUUGCACCUACCGGAAAUUUACCGGAAUAAAAAAAACUGGUUAAAAAGUGUGUGCAAAGUCCUGCUUGGAAAAAUGGGGACCUGCAAAUAUAUCUGCAUGUCCCUUUCUGUAGAGAUCCUAUUCUGUUCACUGUACACUUCUGGCCAUCCCAUCUGACUGAGUGGGAAGUUUCAUUGGAUGUCAAGAUUGGACCUUUAUGUGAAGAAUAAUGCAGACUAACAGUGAAAGUCCAACGGCUUAGGAAUACAAUAACAAUUUGGUGAAAAGUUCCAGGAGUCUCUUAUGGGCUUUGUCAGACCUCUGUGGUUUCUGUUUAAAACUACAGCAGAUUUUUUCCAGUGAAGCAUAGCAGCUGAAUACGCUAGCCCCGUGUGCAGAGUGGGAGGUUUCUCACAUUUCCACCUUGCAGUCAAAAAGUUUUCUGGCAGUGAGAAGUGCUAAUUUAACAAAUUUCUUUCCAGUGCCUUUUUGCCAACAGGCAACCAGAAACAUCCCCAGGUAUUCAAAGCAGAGGUGAUGUUGGGAAUGGAAAAAGGCAAACUUUAUCCCAAGUAGCUUCAGGCCGCUCCGGAAACUUUGUCCUGGGAGUCCCUGCUGGAUUCUGCACAAAGUCAGUACAUGGCUUGGUACAAGUAUGUGUUUAAAUGUUCAUUCAGUUGCCAUUACAGAGGAAAAAAGAAUCUGUACCAUUUUGGGUGAGACUCCUGAAUGUGUGACACAGAAAGCCCACCUUGGUUAAUCCGCUUUCUCAUGUGUAUGUUUCCUUUUUGUUCUUUUUGAUCUCCCAAUAGCCAACAGAGUGCUCAUCCAAGAGUGGUGACAGGAGCUUUCUGCGAGUCUAAUUAAAUGUCUUUCCCUGAUUGGCUCAGUGCUUUUAAUAUCUUAAUUUGAAAGGCAGGGUGUGAUUGCAAAAGCAUACCCUUCUACCCAAGUCAUAGGGAUUUUUGUACAGACUGACCACUGUUGCUUGCUUGCCCAGAAAAGACAGCUCUUCAGAGACUUUCUUGAAGGAAAGGAAAACAGGGUGGACUAUGAACAGAGUGGGAUUCAAAGAGAUUAACAAUCAGAAUUAAGCAGAUUCCUCCGCUAACCGUCUGGCUUAGCCACCCCAAUGGACAAGUUGAUCCAGAAAGCAGAGACACUACCUCAUACUCUAUAACGCAUGAGUCAGUGAAAGCAUUUGACAAAGAUGAUCAAGUAAUUAUAAUCUCCAAAACUGUCAGACUUGCUGGUAGGGUCAGUGGUAUGACAGUCUUAGCUGAUGCUGUCACUUCCUCACACAUAUGGGCCAAUUGUGUCACCAAGGCUAUAGUCAAACACUUCAGCAUGAUGGCUCAAGUGUUGCCAAACAUCUUUCCUUGUAGCUAACUAUGAAAAAAUGUUGGUUUCAGUAGUCAUGUAGAGACUGUAAUUAAAAUACUGAACUUUUUGGAUCAGAUUCUCUGGUCGUCCCUUGCUGGUGGACAGCCUAAUGUGGGCAAUGGACUGCAAUGAAAGGUGAUACAAUUUCUGUUGCAUUCACAGAGCUUAUGGGAGUAGCACUGGAGUCAAUGAAACAAAGAAAACGUGUCAGAAAAUUUGGUCUCUGGAGCCUACAGAUGCCAGAAAUGAGAGUAUUGGAAAUCCUGCUCCUCAUCUGCUUUACAAAACAAAAAUCACACCCUCAUUUCUUAUGGCCAUAGCCUUGAGAUUAUGAGAUAGUUAAAACCAGUAGUUGAAGUUGGCAAUAUAUAUUUGGGACUUUUUUUUCCUAAGACUGUGGCUUAUCAGUGAUAUUUCUUACAUCAGCACAUGGCUGUCCUUUAAAAUACAUUAUGGGUCUGUUAUCUGGGCAACUGCUCAGGAGUUUGCUCUUUUGGUCGUGUGGCAAAUGAAUAAUAGACGCUUUUAUCUGGAUUGUAAGGACUCCAUACUGCCCUCCACAGGGGGUAGGCGAGCUUGGAUUUGGUGCCACUGCGGAACCUUGGAUCACUGCUGCAGAAAAUGAUGAGUGAGAAAAAGCUGUGUGAUGCAGGGGUCUGGUCCUCUUUGCUUAGGAGCUCUGUUCAAGCUAAGGCAUUCACCUUUGCCACCCUCCUUGAGCUGAACUGCAGGUGUGCCUGUGCCUGGCUGUGUUUUUGACACUGACUCCGAAUUGUGAACCUGAAAUCUCAGCUUGAUCUCAGUUCUGCCUCCUCACUACGGGCUUCUCUGGUGAUCUGGAUGUGGUCAACCCUGGUUGCCAUCCCAAGACCUGCUCUGCUCUUCAUUAUUAGGAGCUGUAGUAUCACAGGCCUUGUUGAUGAGGCUUGCCACCACCUUGCCAGCCUGGCUGUCAUCCUCUGCUCACUGCCUCACCCUAGCUUCUUCCUGAAACUGAGAUCGUUGUGUUUGUCCAGAUGUCAAAUUUAUUGAUCAAACAAAAGCAAUGGAGUCUCAAGCAAUACGGAAGUGGCAAAAUGGGUGAGGCAAGACCAAUCACUGGGACUCUGCUCCCUGUUUUCUGUUUACAGCUCUGCUACCUAUGCAUGAUGCCUUUUCCCCCAGAUAAAAAGAAUCCUCUAAGAACAGAAUAAACCUCUGGCUGCAAUAGGAAUAUGUAGUGCUGUCUAUGAGAGUUUGCCUGCCACCUGAAAUAUUGUGGUCAAGAUCUCACUCCUUUCAAGAUAUUGUAGAUCUGGAAGCAAUCCUGAAGCAUCAAGUAUGAUGUCACUUGUCCAGGCUAAGCUCAGUUAUAGCAGGUUGUUCCUGAUGCAGAAGACUGUCCUGGUCCUUCAUUCCUGGACAGUAUCAUCCUUUCUUAUGCUAAAAGAUCCCACUUUUUCCUACCUUUCCUUCCAUGUCACGUUCUGUGGAUUUCUGUUAAUUUUUAUGGCUCUCUGUCACCCUCUCAAUAACCAGCACCAAACACAGUGCCCAUGUUGAGAUAAUAACACCAAAUAAAGAAUCGGGAAUGCCCAGCGUGUUCACAGAUUGUAUACAUGUAUCUAUGUUGCGCUUACCCAUUUUAACAACAAUGUGCUGUUGAUGAUUACAUUACAAGCUUUAAACUCCUUUCAAUAAAAAUGAUCCCUAUCUUCUUUUUUUGAACUUGGUAAGUUCCCCACAAUUGCAGGAUUUUGCAUUUGUCCCUGUGUUCAUUUCAUUUUAUUCCUUUCUUUCCAGACCAUUUAUUUAUUUUAUCAGGACCAUGUCUGGCAGUCUUUUUGAUUUCUAAUCUAAUUUAUUUGCACUCUCCAUCAGCUUCAUGGAGAUCUCAGUUCCGUUCUCUAAAUUGUUUAGAAAACACCAUCUUGUAUAGGUCAGACAUUCUAUGGGCUCUGGGCUCUUGACAAUAUUUGCCCUUCCAUUUUGACAGCGAAUUAAUGUUAUCUGCUGUAUCAGUAUGAUUUUCCAGUUGAUUCUGCACAUAUUUGAUAUUAGAUUCUUUCAAACCUGCUUUCCUUGCUUUGCUCUUUCAAAGAGCCAUUGUCAACAGCGUUGAGAACAUAUGGAUUAUAGGUGUGGUACUCAAAAGCAAACAAGAGUUUAUAUCUAUUGUGAGAACAUAACAUACAACAAUUACUGGUUUUCCUUCCAUCCACAGGUCCACUCAAUAGCUAAAUAAGGAAAUUAAUUUGGAUCUUGACAAAUCCAUAGAUUUAUUCAAAAAUCCAGGCGUGCUUUUUUUCCUUCCUUUGUAAUCCUUGCAAAUUGUCACCAAAAGUCACUUUUGGCUAUUUCUCCAUAACUCCAAACAACUGAGUUAAACUGGCUAAUCAGUAAUUCUUUGGCCUCCUUUUCAAGGUAUGUCAUAUUUGCUGUUAUCUGCUCUUGCAUACCUCACCCGAAAGUCAUGUAUUCUGUAAGACCACCAUCAAUGGUUACAAGAGGAGAUCACUCAGUUCAUGAAGUAUUCCAGGAUGAAAGUCAGUUCUUUGGACUCAACAAAUUUGAAAAUGCGAAGCCAAGCAAAGUGCUCUCUAACCUAUCUCUGCUCUGUAUGAGGGACAGAUUAUUUCCUUUGCUAUUGAUUUUAAUUGCAAAAUCCACUUCUUAGGGAAUAUUGAUUAAAAAAAAAAAAGCAUUAUGUAUAUUACCUUCCAAUGUCAUCUGCUAGUAGGCUUUCCCUUCUGUUUACAAGUUCACUAACCCUGCUUUUCCUAUUCAUUUUCCUAUAUCACUGUUAGAAUGAUUUCAGUAGCCAAGGUUUCUAGGAAUAGAAAAUAGAAAAUGUCAUUUUCAGCCUUGGCCUUCCUGAUGAUCUGUGUGCUGUUGAAAAUCUGUCUUUUGUACUCCGUUAUACUUCCUAGUUCCUGUAGAAUUUCCUCUAAUGUAUGGGAUCAAAAUGACCUAACCAAUCUGAUUGCUUACUCCCUGCUUAUCUUCUGCAACUGGAAACUUUGCACUUGCAUCUUUAAUACCAUUUCUUUAAAGUUAUGUGAUUUCUUUCAAUUUCCCCUUUUACCUCGGAUCAGUCUUCCAGGAAAUCUUACCUAAUGACCCUCUGGAUAACUUAAAUCUGCCCUCCUGAAAUCCUGUUGCUUUUACUGCAGCGUUGCCUCUUUCCAUAUGAAGGAAAUGUGAAUUCUGUCAUUUCCCCAUCAUAGACACCUGAGAUACUCUUUGACCGGCCCCACUCUGUGCCUCUGUUUGUUGGUUUGAAUCCAGCACUCCUCUGUGGCAAACCAAAAGAAAGGCUGCAGGGGUCUGACUCUGUCAGCACCUAGCAAACAGUUAAUGCAUUGUAAUAGGGGUAAUAAAGGAGUAAUUUUAUGUAUCGUUCUUCUGGUAUUGGUCACAACUAGUCACAGAAUGCUUUAUGCCAGGCACAGGAGCCUGUGAGAGUGCUUUUACUCGCUUGAAAUAUGCAUGUUAAAAAUAACAGCAUUAAUUCUUACCUUACCACUUCACCACAAAUAAAUGUAAAGGAAUAUAUAAAGAGUGUGAAUAGCGUAUAUCUAGCCAAAUACAUGUGUUGUUACAAAAAACUUAGUUUCAGCAAUGUUAAGAGUCCCCUCUGGUCCAUAUCUUGGGUUUCUCUUAUGCUCUGCUACCGAUUUGUUCUGUGACUGCAGAGACAACUUGUAAAAGCAACCACUGACAUUUUGACCAAUUUUCUAAGAGAAUAAUCCAGACUAGGGGACAGUGAAUUGAUUUUUUAAUUUCCCCACUAGAUUUUUUACAACAUACUUCUUACUCUGCUCCUGUUAUGGCACUGAGUUCAGUGACAAGGCACACUCACUUACUGCCUCAUUGCAGUUAAUUCUUUGAAUAGUUAAUGCUUGCUUUAUGUGAAUUUUCUUAACAGACACCACACCACUCUAUGGUUGCAUUGUUCUUUUCCCGAGGUGGUCUUUUUUAUAGUGUGAGAAGUACAACACUGUUGUUUUCUUUCCUGAUUAGAAGUCUUUUGGACAAGAUUUAUGCAGGGAUUUGUGUGUUUAUUGGCCUAUAUUUGUGUAAGGCCAGGAGAAGGAAGAGAACCCCUGUGACUGUGUUUCGAUGGCUUUCCAGAGAAACAGUUUAUGAUGUCCUCAUUCUGAAUAGAACAGCUAUUUGAAAUAGCCUUAACAGGGAUCAACAGCAUGCGUAAGCCCUGGUUUGUUCAAAUUUACUCCCCGUAAGGCCUUAUCUCCAGGCACUGGCUCCAAGGCUCAUGACCAAGAAAGAUCUCCCAAGUCCUCGUGUUUCUGCUCCGCCUGCCAUUGCUGUGUCAGAGCACUGAGAACAUGGGUCACUACACGUGCCCUCAGAUAUUCAAGUCAACAGUUCAGAAAAUAAAUAUGGAAACUGACUUCCCUUAACUUCCCACUCUUCAUUUCUUUUUACUACAAAUGAGAUCUGCCCCUCUUUCCCCUGUGACUUGCUACUCUCUAACACCUGCACCUCCUUUCAUGUGCUGGAUCUCUCCUGGACUCUCUACCAUUUCAUCUUUCACAUUCCUUUCCAGAUCUCCCCAGAUCUGUGAAGCACACUGUUGUUUUCCACUGUUAAAUUAAAAUAACAAAGUAGAAAAAGAGAAAUAAACCCUAAGUGUCUUACUUUCUUCUAGGCCUACUGCAGCUCCCGUAGUUGCCUGCCAGUAUGAACUAAAAGCCCCUCAAGAAGAGAAAGUCUCUUGGAUGUAUUACUCUGUCCACUGCUGGCUCCCUGAACCAUCCCCUUAUGGGAUAUGAACGACACCUCAAUGUCACUAUGGACUUCACUGCCACGGACAGGAUGCAAAGUAUUUGUUAGCAAUAGGCAGGCAACUGAAAUUGAAAGUAAGCAAAGAACCAGAGCUCUUGCUUGAGUACAUCUUUGACAGAGUUCACAGAUGUAGAAGUUGCUUAAACUGUCCGAAGUGGGUCAUUCUGAAGAGCCUCAGAAAGGAGGCAAGUCACCAGUUUUUCCCCAUUACAGAGUGAUACAGAGAAUGAGAACUACAUUUGGUUCACCAGCAAUUUGUAACUCCUGUCCAGAGCAGGGUAUGCUAAUAAAACGUCAACUUUCAUUACAGCAAAAUAUGCCUAAGCAAUGCAGAGAAAGCAUGUCUGCUAUGAAUGACACUAUUAAUGAAAUAGUACUAGGGAUGCUAUUGUUCCACAGUGAGAAAAAAGGCUGUUUUAAAUUGGCAAUUUCUACUUCUCGAAGUAAAGCAAGAUUACUUCAUCUCUGUAAGUAUUAACAAUGGGUUCAUACGAGAUUCUUAAACCUCAAAUAACUACCUUUUCAAAUCCCAGUCAGCAACAUGGCCAAAACCCCAUACAAACACUGAGGUCCUCGGGAUUGCAGUGCAGUGCGGUAUUCAAGCAGUUUGUGUAUGUUCUCCUUCCUUUUUCCUUUUCCUUAGUGCUUAAUAUGGUAGUUUUUUGCAAUCUAAUAUACUUCAGCCUUUUCCUCCUAUUAUUCCUUUCUUCCUUAUUCUCAGCAAGAUUUAUUUUCUCUUUACUUUUCUCUCCGUUUUCUUUUUGCUCGUUUCCAUUAUUCCCUAGUUUGGCCAGUUUGGCAUCAAUCAGCAGUGCUCUCCAUCCCUCUUUUCACAUGAUAUAUAUAUUUAUCCACCACCAAAAAGCAAAUUUCACUGCAUCUGUUCUGUACAUCUUUCUCACCAGUUCCUGGGGUGGCAGUGUUCACUUUAACACAAUACAGGCUAUGGCACGUGCUAUUCAUUUUUGUUGCUUCAGGUCUUGUCAGUUUAUUCACUCGUCUUAAAACUUUUACUGGUUGCAAGCUUCUCCUCUUACAGGGAUUCAAGGGGGUUGAGGGUGCAUGUGUAUGUCUAUCUGCUGUCUCCUCUUCGGUGAGGGCUUUGCCAAUUUUAGCAGCCAGAGUCGGGUCUACACAGACGCAUGAAGAAGUGAUUAUGGUGUCGGCAGACAUAGCUUUAAGUUAGGUAGCACACGUAAUGGUACAGGUGCUGGAGGCAGGAAGAAAGGCAUAACUGCAGGCUAGCGCCCAGAGUACAUAUUAACCCCCAGAUCCCUGGGGUAGCCCAGUUUUCAGCCUAUCCUGAAAAACGUUGCAGUCUGUCAUGAACUGCUGUCAACACCAGAGCAACUUAGGUAAAACCCAGUACCUGUGCCACAAUCGAGCCUUCAGUCUCGUCUGUAAAUGUACCUUGGAAGACUAUGGUGACAGAACAGUCUUUGUGCGUUUAACCUGGAAUGUGCUCCAGUGCAUGCCAGGGGCAGAUUUAGAAGGAUUAUGGUAGCUGGCUAACAGUAUCUCUAACUACCAGUGCCAGACUUAUAAAUGGAACAGAAAUUUAAACAGGUUCAAGACUUUUUUUUUUUUUUUUUGCUGCAGUCAGCUGGAACCUGAACUAGGCUACAUCCUGUCUGGCUUCAUCUGCCUGCUUCUAGUAUUAGUAUUGACUAAAAAUACCAGUAUAAAUCCUGCAAAAGUGAUCUCGGCACAGUCUGACUGAGAUGCUCUCCUUACAAAAGUAACACAAAUUGGCAUAUUUCAUCCUGAAUCUCCUCACUCUGUGAGGAGUGCAGAUUCUGGGUACAAAGUCAAUUGCUCUGAGCAGAGAAAGAGCCCAGGGUACUUGUCAUCUAAGAGUACAGCCGUGGGUCAAGGUAAUCUUUCAACCAAUGUAAUUGAUUAAUCAUCUGAGUUAUGAAAGGUGUGAGCAGGCUUCCUCCUUUAGCAGAGUGCUUUGGAGAUUAAGUCAAGAAAAAUGCCACAUUUGAAAAACAGGUCUUGUGGGUUCUUGGACAAACAGGGGUAGACAAAAUUCUGUUUGGAGAGUGACCAAAAAAAGCCUCUUAAAUGCACAUGAAAGCUGAGCGAUGGGAGCUCCUGACCUAGCCUAGCUUCAGGCCCCGCGCUGUCAGCACCUCUCAUUGAUUUGUUGAGCAGCAUUCAGAAAGAAGACCAGCUUUGCUUUGGAGUACAUUUAACAGACUGCCAACAAAAGCUAAAAAUGAUGAACUUUUCUUGCCGUAAAAAUGACAUUUUUGAAUGUAGCUCACGGAGUGCUUUAUGAAGCUCUGAUCUAGGAGGAGAGGGAAUUAUCUAUUUUAAAAAGAAAGAAAACUUGCUCCUAAUUUUCUCCAAUGUCAAAUCCUAAAUUACUAAAUAAAAACAAGUUUUGUGCCUUACUCCUAGCAUAAGGAGUUCUAUA
Molecule: long non-coding RNA, 12125 nt
Organism: Gallus gallus (chicken)
Lineage: Eukaryota; Metazoa; Chordata; Aves; Galliformes; Phasianidae
Exons: 9
Source: RefSeq, a predicted model, not a curated record